CCCCCCGGGGGGUCCCCAAAACCCCUCCCCUCUCCCUGCUGCUGCUGACCACGUUCUCCUCCGCUUCCUGUGACGUCACCCCCUCCAUUUUUGUUAUUUUACCGAUUCUGGUGAUUUUUCUCUGCCCCCCCCCGAGGGGUUUGGGUUCCCAAAUGUUGGUUUUAACCGGGGGGGCCCCUCCCCCCCCCACCGAGGGCUUGUUUUGGGGGUUUUUUGAGGACUCCGGCGUAUUGUAGGACGGAGCCGUCGUCGUCUUCAUCGUCGUCGUCGUCUUCAUCGUCAUCAUCCUCCUCCUCCUCCUGCCCCGGGGGGGCCCUGGCGCUGCCCCCCCCCAGCCGGCUGAACACCCCCGAGGGCUGGGGGGGGGAAGGGGGGGGCCGUCAGCGCCUUCAGGGGCUGCACUUUUCCUUUCUUUCCCUCUCCUUCCUCUUCCUCCCUCUCUUCUCCUUCCCUUUCCUUUCCUCUCCUUCCUUUUAUUUCCUCCCCUUCCCUUCCCUCUCCUUCCUCCUCUUCCUCUCUUUCCUCUCCUUCCUUUUCCUCUCCUUCCUUUUCAUUUCCUCUCCUCCCUUUCCCUCUCCCUCCUUUCCUCUCCUUCCUUUUCCUCCCCUUCCCCUUCCCUCUCCCUUCCCUUUCCCUCCUUCCCCUUUCC
Molecule: long non-coding RNA, 649 nt
Filed under: Calidris pugnax (ruff)
Lineage: Eukaryota; Metazoa; Chordata; Aves; Charadriiformes; Scolopacidae
Description: lncRNA (ENSCPUG00000007672.1)
Source: RNAcentral